Molecule: microRNA precursor, 163 nt
Filed under: Citrus sinensis (sweet orange)
Lineage: Eukaryota; Viridiplantae; Streptophyta; Magnoliopsida; Sapindales; Rutaceae
Description: miR482e stem-loop (csi-MIR482e)
Gene: csi-MIR482e
Source: miRBase by way of RNAcentral
GGAAAGGGCUGAGGCCCGUAAGACAUUUUCGGUCAUGGGAGGAUUGGCGAAAAAAUCUUUCAAUUUUACCAUAAAGUAUAUAAGAUGACGAUGAUGAUUAAAUGAAAUCUUUUGCCAACUCCUCCCAUGCCGAUGAUUUCUUAUGGUUUCAAUUCUUUCCAAU